CAAAAACAUAGAAAUAAAGAAGAUGAGUGUAGAGUAGAAUCUUCAGAAAAAGUUAGGGUUUAUACCUCAAAAAAAAACUCAAAAACAGGCUGGUUUAACUCAAAGCCCUUCAAAAGGCUCAGGAUUUGAGUUAUUGUGUGUGACUAGACUCUAUUGAAUCUUCCUCUUGUACUUGGUAAAAAAGGAUCGAACACUUCAUGAAAUACACUAUAAAGUACUCAUCAGAGCUAGAGAGAGAGAGAGAAAAAAAACCCUAAAAGGAGAUUUUAUGUAAAUGGACAAGAUUUGACAGUUAUCAUCGGGAAUAGCCACCGGAAAGAGAUCGGAUCCCAAGAGUCAGAGAUCUAAAGACAGGGGGAGAGAGAGGAUGGACAAAGAGAAAGAGAGUAGGGUUAAAUAAAGAGAGAUCAAAGGGUGAUGAUGAUAAAUAAGAAUAAGAAAGAGAGGGAGAGAGAGAAUGAAGAAGAGGAAGAAGACACAUGAAAAAGUAGACAACCGUGUCCUAAUAAUCUAUACUACUUUGUCUCUCUCUCUCUCUGUGUCCUUCUCAAUCAUAGUCUCUAUGUCCUUUAAUAUAACACAAGAAGUGAGAGAUAGAGAGACUUUAUUUGUUGCAAAAGCUUCGGGGGAGAAAG
RNAcentral lists this long non-coding RNA (635 nucleotides) under Capsella grandiflora. RNAcentral describes it as "long non-coding RNA (CGRA_LNC000256)". The record is from RNAcentral. Lineage: Eukaryota; Viridiplantae; Streptophyta; Magnoliopsida; Brassicales; Brassicaceae.